UGGGAGAGCGCUUGCAUGGCAUGCAAGAGGUCGUCGGUUCGAUCCCGAUCGGCUCCA
This 57-nucleotide transfer RNA is filed under the name Phycisphaerales bacterium. RNAcentral's name for it is "tRNA-Ser". It matches the Rfam family "tRNA", at positions 16 to 71 of the family's 71-position model. From Rfam's summary of the family: Transfer RNA (tRNA) molecules are approximately 80 nucleotides in length. Their secondary structure includes four short double-helical elements and three loops (D, anti-codon, and T loops). Lineage: Bacteria; Pseudomonadati; Planctomycetota; Phycisphaerae; Phycisphaerales. The record is from RNAcentral.